Rattus rattus (black rat) is the source of this 504-nucleotide long non-coding RNA. RefSeq lists it as uncharacterized. NCBI's taxonomy places the organism in Eukaryota, Metazoa, Chordata, Mammalia, Rodentia, Muridae. The record is from RefSeq and is a predicted model, not a curated record. The transcript has 4 exons.
CCAGAUCAAACUGAGUGUGGAGUAUUUUGCUUUAACACUUUAGGAGUGGCAAACAAUUUAUAACUGGCAGGGUUUGAGGACAACCGUGUUGAAAAACCAAAAGAUAAUGCUAAGACAGGUCUUAACCAAUGUGGAUACUUUGACUAAUUAACUUUGUUAAUUUAGGAGGAGGUCGUUCCUGCACGCCAUCCAUCUCCAGCGUUCGAAGGUUCUGUUAGCAGUGCUGUUACUUGGUGCUUCAGAGAUAUGGUGACUGGCCGAGCGCAAAGGAGCCAUGCUAGGAAAACUAAGAGCACAUCUUCAUAAAGUCCAGGAUAAAGUAAGGUGAGAAAACUAAGAUGUAAAGUGUACCAAGUUAAUAACUUCCCUAUGAAGAAACAUUCACACGUCUUACUUCCUGUCCUAGCUCCAGAGCCUGAAAAGGUGAACCCACUGGGGCUGGCUGGGGGAAAAGAGGAAGUUUUGUUCCAGAAGGAACUGUCUGAGGGAUCACUUGUAUGCGUA